UCUCUGGUGGUCCAGUGGUUGGGACUCUGUGCUUCCAAUGCAGACGGCCUGGGUUUAAUCCUUGGUCGGGGAA
This 73-nucleotide transfer RNA is filed under the name Bos mutus (wild yak). RNAcentral's name for it is "Bos grunniens mutus tRNA". It matches the Rfam family "tRNA". Rfam says of the family: Transfer RNA (tRNA) molecules are approximately 80 nucleotides in length. Their secondary structure includes four short double-helical elements and three loops (D, anti-codon, and T loops). Further hydrogen bonds mediate the characteristic L-shaped molecular structure. tRNAs have two regions of fundamental functional importance: the anti-codon, which is responsible for specific mRNA codon recognition, and the 3' end, to which the tRNAs corresponding amino acid is attached (by aminoacyl-tRNA synthetases). tRNAs cope with the degeneracy of the genetic code in two manners: having more than one tRNA (with a specific anti-codon) for a particular amino acid; and 'wobble' base-pairing, i.e. permitting non-standard base-pairing at the 3rd anti-codon position. The record is from Rfam by way of RNAcentral. Lineage: Eukaryota; Metazoa; Chordata; Mammalia; Artiodactyla; Bovidae.